This 421-nucleotide ribosomal RNA is filed under the name bacterium AD3004. Its description in RNAcentral is "bacterial SSU rRNA". It matches the Rfam family "Bacterial small subunit ribosomal RNA", at positions 28 to 438 of the family's 1533-position model. The record is from RNAcentral.
GAUGAACGCUGGCGGCGUGCUUAACACAUGCAAGUCGAACGGAGCUUAGAAGGAAGCUUGCUUUCAUUUAAGCUUAGUGGCGGACGGGUGAGUAACGCGUGAGCAACCUGCCCUCGAGUGGGGAAUAACAUCGAGAAAUCGGUGCUAAUACCGCAUAAUGUCGAGAGACCGCAUGAUCUUUCGACCAAAGGAUUUAUUCGCUUGAGGAUGGGCUCGCGUCCGAUUAGUUAGUUGGUGAGGUAACGGCCCACCAAGACUUCGAUCGGUAGCCGAACUGAGAGGUUGAUCGGCCACAUUGGGACUGAGACACGGCCCAGACUCCUACGGGAGGCAGCAGUGGGGAAUAUUGGGCAAUGGGCGAAAGCCUGACCCAGCAACGCCGCGUGAAGGAUGAAGGUCUUCGGAUUGUAAACUUCUUUGA